This 484-nucleotide ribosomal RNA is filed under the name uncultured bacterium. RNAcentral describes it as "partial 16S ribosomal RNA". It matches the Rfam family "Bacterial small subunit ribosomal RNA", at positions 30 to 507 of the family's 1533-position model. The record is from RNAcentral.
AUUGAACGCUGGCGGCAGGCCUAACACAUGCAAGUCGAGCGGAUGAAGGGAGCUUGCUCCUGGAUUCAGCGGCGGACGGGUGAGUAAUGCCUAGGAAUCUGCCUGGUAGUGGGGGAUAACGUCCGGAAACGGGCGCUAAUACCGCAUACGUCCUGAGGGAGAAAGUGGGGGAUCUUCGGACCUCACGCUAUCAGAUGAGCCUAGGUCGGAUUAGCUAGUUGGUGGGGUAAAGGCCUACCAAGGCGACGAUCCGUAACUGGUCUGAGAGGAUGAUCAGUCACACUGGAACUGAGACACGGUCCAGACUCCUACGGGAGGCAGCAGUGGGGAAUAUUGGACAAUGGGCGAAAGCCUGAUCCAGCCAUGCCGCGUGUGUGAAGAAGGUCUUCGGAUUGUAAUGCACUUUAAGUUGGGAGGAAGGGCAGUAAGUUAAUACCUUCCUGUUUUGACGUUACCAACAGAAUAAGCACCGGCUAACUUCGUG